This 386-nucleotide ribosomal RNA is filed under the name uncultured archaeon. Its description in RNAcentral is "bacterial SSU rRNA". It matches the Rfam family "Archaeal small subunit ribosomal RNA", at positions 85 to 475 of the family's 1478-position model. The record is from RNAcentral.
ACGGCUCAGUAACACGUCGAUAAUCUGCCCUUGGGAUCCGGAUAACCUUGGGAAACUGAGGCUAACACGGGAUAGGGAAAUUCUACUGGAAUGUGUUUUUCCCCAAAGGUGACGCCCAAGGAUGAGUUGGCGGCGGAUUAGCUUGUUGGUGGGGUAAUGGCCCACCAAGGCAUUGAUCCGUAGGGGCCUUGGAAGAGGUAGCCCCGAGAAGGACACUGAGAUACUGGUCCUAGCCCCACGGGGUGCAGCAGGCGCGAAACCUUUACACUACACGCAAGUGUGAUAAGGGAAUUCCAAGUGCCUAUACUAAGUAUAGGCUUUUUUUGAGAGUAAAGUUCUCGAAGAAUAAGUGGUGGGUAAGACCGGUGCCAGCAGCCGCGGUAAUA